Molecule: long non-coding RNA, 2365 nt
Organism: Anolis carolinensis (green anole)
Lineage: Eukaryota; Metazoa; Chordata; Lepidosauria; Squamata; Anolidae
Exons: 3
Source: RefSeq, a predicted model, not a curated record
CACGCCACAAGGUUUGAGAGAAAACUGUAAAAGAAAAGUCCUUCUAUUCUGGAAGUCGUCUGCCUUCUUGCCACUGUGUGAAUAUGAAUUUUCUGAUGAAAGCGGUGAAGCUGUUGCUUUCUGUUGAUCUCUGUUACUCAGUGUUUUCCAAGCUUGGGAACAGAUGGUGCACCACCUGACUUUGAACAGUCUAAUGUAAGAUUCAUUGUGCUUCACAGGAAAUCAAAGAUCAAGCAACAUUGCAGAAGGUGAAGCAGCACCUCGGUAACCAGCCACACAGUAUGAUACAGUCAUCAUGGUGAAAAGAGAAAGUAAGAGAGAAAAAGGAAUCAAAAAGGAGAGUGUGAAAGAACUGGUUGACAGAAAUUGGAGCUAACAGUGGGAACUCACCCCGCUCCCUGGAUUCAAACUGCCGACCUUUUGGUCAGCAAGUUCAACAGCUCAGCAGUUUAACCUACUGCGCCACCAAGAGCUCAGCGUACUUUCUACACCUAACCAAAAGGUAAUUUAUUGUGUGAGCAACAUUGACUCCGAGGUGGUUCACACAAAUCAUUUCCCUUAAACAAACACCAUUUGUUGCUAAUGACGGGGCAAAGCAAACUUCAGGAGCAUUUAUGAACAGUAAUGUCUCUCUCUUGCUGCACACAUUUGCAAACUGAUCUCUGUUAUUUGCAGAUGAAUUAACGAUGGCUUGAAAAAAUCAUUAAAGCCAUCUGCUUGGAUGAGAAAGAAGGAGAAAGAGAAAACCUGCUGUGAUCAUUUCAUUUACUGUAGACCGGUUACGUUUUUUUUCCCUUUUAGCAUCAUUUCCCCUAAAUUUGACAAUGAUGUUUUAAAAAAUGAGCAGCAUUAUCAGACCUCGUUAUGCCUCCUUGGAAAUGCAUUUGCGGAGAAAACAGCUUAUACAGGUAGCUUGAAGUAUUUGUUCUGCUGGCCUCUGUCAAGGGAAGAAGCCCAUUACAGUUUCAACAAUUAAAAUCGGUAGUUACAUCAGACCCAAAAUCUUAAGCUCUGCAGCGAAGCUUUAAUCAUCCCUGAAAUUAUAUGAUCUAAUCAGCAUAAAAGUGUAUCAUCAGUGUUUCCUCAAAUUAGUUCCUUUGCUCUAGUAGAGUAUAUUUUAAAGAGUGUUACACCCAGCUGCUAUGUGACAAAUUUAAAGUUUUUUUCAAAGGCUAUAUAAAUGUAUGCUAAAUGAAAUUGAAGUUAUAAAAGCUGAACUUCCAAGAUCCUUAUAUCCUGUUGGAUUAUUAUCGUGAUCCUGUGAUCUUUUGCUCAUGGGAGAUCAAGGUCAAGGACACAGAUUUCUCCAUAGUUUCCCCUUUUAUCUGAACAAAAAAGUUGAAUCAGGUGUUCAAAGGGGUGUUUGUACACCGAUAUACCACCCCCACAAGAUGUAUCUAUUAAAGGAAAUGCAGAAAGCCAUAAGAUAUGAAUAGGAAUGUACAGCUGGACUGCAGCUCUCAUUAGUCUUGGCUAGCAUGGCCAAAGAUCAAGGAUAAGGAGAUUUAUUAUUUAUUUAUUUACAGUAUUUAUAUUUCGCCCUUCUCACCCCGAAGGGGACUCAGGGCGGAUUACAAUGAACACAUAUAUGGCAAACAUUCAGUGCCAACAGACAAACAACAUAUAUAGACAGACACAGAGGCAUUUAACAUUUUAUUUUCCAGCUUCACGAUUCCGGCCACAGGAGGAGCUGUUGCUUUCACUGUCCACUACUGGCUGUACUUCCUCAUUCCUUUCCUCGUGUUUUGCUGGCAGUUUUUAUGAUGUUGUAAAUUAGUUAAAUUAGCCUCCCGCAUAAAGCGUACCUAAAUUUCCCUACUUGACAGAUGCAACAGUCUUUUGGGGCUGCAUAAGUCAACAGCAAGCCGGGCUAUUUUAUGGUCGGGGGCUUAACCCGACCCGGGCUUCGAACUCAUGACCUAUCGGUCAGUAGUGAUUUACUGCAGCUGGUUACUAGCCAGCUGCGCCACAGCCCGGCUCUGCAAGACAAAAACAUUUGGGAAGUCACACGCUCCCCAUCCCUGAUAUACACAAAUUUCUUGGGACAUCUCAGUAUUCGACACUGCUAAGAUGUAGCUCAUGGCAAAUGUCCAGCUUCUGGCCUCCACAAGUGAACUAAAUAGCUAAAGUUUGAACCCAAAUAGCUGUGAUGCAGGAGGCAAAAAAGCCAGUGUCGUUCUGGGCUGCAUCAAUAGGAGUAUAAUGUCUAGAUUGAGGGAAAUUAUACUCCUACUCUAUUCUGCUUUGACCAGACCUCACCUGGAAAACUGUGUCCAAUUUCGGGCCCCAUAAUUAAAAAUAUAUACUGUCAAGUUGGAAUGUGUCCAGAGGAGGGUGACAAAACUGUAACAGAUCUAGUGGUAUC